CGCGGCUAUUCCACAUAUACUAUGGGCAGGGGUUCAAGGUCCUCAAGAACGCCUGGGACGGCAGGAGCUACCUCCUCAUUCAGAGCACGUCCAAGAUGGCGAGCAGGACGAGGUGCUGCACGGGGAGGAUCAAGUCCUUCGUCGUCCCCCUCGCUAACUACUCCCUCGACACCGCCGCCUCUCCAGUGUCCUUCUUCGAGGUGAGCGAGCAACGGGGGAGCCAAACCGAGAUCACACCCCACGGCUGCCUCGACCACGCCCCCUACCCACCCGAGGUA
This is a long non-coding RNA of Triticum dicoccoides, 278 nucleotides long. RefSeq lists it as uncharacterized. The record is from RefSeq and is a predicted model, not a curated record. Lineage: Eukaryota; Viridiplantae; Streptophyta; Magnoliopsida; Poales; Poaceae. The transcript is spliced from 3 exons.